GGAAUGUUUGCUCACCUGGCUCCCAGAGCUCACUCUCUGCACUGCUGGUGUUGAGCUGGUCAGGUGGGGCUGGAGAUGGAUGACCUGAAAUGAACCAGCAGCAGCAUGGUGGGUGAGUGAGCUCAGGCCUGGAGACCACAGAGACACCCUGAUGAGCAGGGGGCACUUCCUGGAGCCUGUGGUGGCUACAUGAGGCCUUUGGAAAAGACGUGGUCCUCAACUUUGGGUGCAUUGGCCUCCCUUCAAGGUUUCCUGGUGGGAACCCAACUGAUGCGUGGGCCUGAGGCCACCCAGUGAGCAAGCUGCAGAGCCCGGAUUUAAACUGUCUCCAAGGACUUGCCUCCCCUCUGGGCUGGGAUGUUUGGGCUUGCAAAGCACAAAGGGAGGCUCUGGGGCAGGGACUGUUGUGGUUGCCUAUGAACUCCUCUGCAUUUCCUGGUUUCUCUUGCACUUAGGUUGGGCUGGUUGAAGCCUAGGCAGAAGACGUCUGCCUGCUUUUGAGCCAAAGCAGGGAAGAGGCAGUGAGCCAUUUCCAUUUACGUCUUCCCUGUUGAAGGAUAUUAGAGGCCCUGGGUUGCGGAGGAACUGCAAGAGGGAAGGGGAUGUUGACCCAGCUUGGAUUUUGUGUGAGUAAGGAGUAAGCCCUUAUCAUGUUAAACCAUGAAGAUUUGGGGGUGUCCUUGUUGCUACAGCCUUGCCUAGUCCGGCCUGACCGAUACAGAGCCUGAAGACUCGGACAUGACCACUACACAUUCCUGGAGCUUCACCUGAGCAGAUUCCACGGACAUACCCCCUGAGCCUGAGCUUGUGCAUGUGCGCGUGCACACCCUGGCAGACAGCCCUCUCCAGGAAACCGUGUGGGCCUCUUCAUCAUCAGGCAGAAAGUCUUCAGCCCUCUAAUUGCCGUCCUCGCUAACUCCCUGGCUGGCUGCCCAGCCUGAGCCCCUGGAGGAGAAAUGACUCCAAAUUCAGAGCAUAAACUCUGUGGCUGAUGUAUUAGAAUGUUCAGCGCAAGAAUUCAGAUGCCCACAAGUUAGGAUUUCAGAAUCCCGGUUCCCACAGCAACCGUCCCAGUGCUCCUGCGUAGUUUUCAAUGUUACUACAUGGGGUGGGGGAGGGGGAUUGAAUGAUGGCUGCAGUGUGUAUGACUGUGAGGUGUGUGCAUAUGAGUGUGUGUGAGGGACUGUGUGCAUAUGUGAUUACGACUGUGUGUGUGAAUGUGAUGUGUGUGGGGCAGGGGGGCUUUAGCUCUGCUCUGUAUCAUCUCUCUCUCUGGGUCUGGAAAACCACUUUCUCAUGCAUAAAGACAAAAAUGUGUUCUCCUAGAUCAGAAAACCCUAGAGGGCAGGGCCCAUGGCUGGGUCAGCCCUGUGUCCCCCACAGUGUCCAAGGCAAUGUUUGUUGAUUGACUGAAUGAAUGAGCAGCAGCUGCCAGCUCCAAGGCAGCUGGUUGAAAGCGGAUAACCUCGAGGGCUUUAUUUUUGUGUCAAGCAUUCUCCCAUCCCCUAUCCCAAGAAGGGAACCUGGCUUCUCUGUUCUCUGACUUCUGUGCUACAGGAACAAAAGCAGAAAUUACCUGGAACCGUCUUUCCAUCCAGGCCUCAUUUCACAGAGGGCCGAAUGGAAGAUCAGCGUUUCUCAGACAUCAUUAUCACCUUUUUUGUUUUGAGACAGUGUCUCGCUCUGUCGCCCAGGCUGGAGUGCAGUGGCACAAUCUCGGCUCACUGCAACCUCCACCUCCUGGGUUCAAGCGAUUCUCGUGCCUCAGUUUCCCGAGUAGCUAGGACUACAGGCGCUUGCCACGAUGCUGGCUAAUUUUUGUAUAUUUUUUGUAGAGACGGGGUUUUCCCAUGUUGCCCAGGCUGGUCUCAAAUUCCUGAGCUCAAGUGAUCUGCCCACCUCAGCCUCCCAAAUUGUUGGGAUUACAGGCGUGAGCCACCACACCCGGCCCAUUGUUACCACUUUUGCCUGGCCCUGUGCCUCACACUUUUCUUUAAAUUGGUUCACUUUUUUGCUGCAAUAAAUUUAUUUGAAAAGGAGCCUGCUAUGGUUUGAAUGUGUUCCAAGGUUCAUGUGUUGGAAAUUUAAUCCCCCAAUGACCUGUGUUGAGAAGUUGGAUGUUUAAGAAUUGAUUAGGGCUGGGCGUGGUGGCUCACGCCUGUAAGCCCAACACUUUGGGAGGCCAAGGCGUGUGGAUUACCUGAGGUCAGGAGUCCGAGACCAGCCUGGCCAACAUGGUGAAACCCUGUCUCUACUACAAAUACAAAAAUUAGUCGGGUGUGGUGGCACAUGCCUGUAAUCCCAGCUACUCCGGAGGCUGAGGCAGGAGAAUUGCUUGAGCCUGGGAGGUGGAGGUUGCAGUGAGCUGAGAUUGCGCCACUGCCCUCCAGCCUGGCCAACAGAGCGAGACUGUGUCUCAAAAAAGAAAAGAAAAGAAAAGAAAAGAGUUGAUUAGGUCAUGAGGAGUCUGCCUUCAUGAACGGAUUAAUGCUGUUAUCACAGGGGUGUGUUGGUUAUUGCAGAAGUGGUUUUGUCGUAAAAGUGAGAGUUCCACCGUCCCUCGCUCUGUCUCUCGUGCACUCUCUGGCCAUGUGACGCCUUCCAUUGUGUUAUGAUGCAGAGAGAAGGCCCUCAUCAGAUGUGGCCCCUAGAUCUUGGGCUUUCCAGCCUGCAGAACUAUAAGAAAUAAAUUUCUUUUUGUUUUAAAUUACUCACUCUGUGGUACUUUGUUAUAGCAACACAAAACAGAGUAAGAGCAAACUUUUACCCUUUCCUGUGAAUUUGCUUUUUUACAUCAUUAAAGACACCUGAUCAUAAAAAUGUUCACUGCAGAUUUUUUUUUUUGAAACAGUGUCUUGCUCUGUCACCCAGGCUGGAGUGCAGUGGCGUGAUCUCGGCUCAUUGCAACCUUCACCUCCUGGGUUCAAGCAAUUCUCCUGCCUCAGCCUCCCAAGUUGCUGGGAUUACAGGCACCCACCACCACACCCUGCUAAAUUUUUUUGUAUUUUUGGUAGAGAUGGGGUUUCUCCAUGUUGGCCAGGUUGGGUCUUGAACACCUGACCUCAAG
This 3067-nucleotide long non-coding RNA is filed under the name Homo sapiens (human). Its description in RNAcentral is "HSALNT0175761". The record is from RNAcentral. Lineage: Eukaryota; Metazoa; Chordata; Mammalia; Primates; Hominidae.